This 74-nucleotide transfer RNA is filed under the name Candidatus Ryanbacteria bacterium. RNAcentral's name for it is "tRNA-Val". It matches the Rfam family "tRNA". From Rfam's summary of the family: Transfer RNA (tRNA) molecules are approximately 80 nucleotides in length. Their secondary structure includes four short double-helical elements and three loops (D, anti-codon, and T loops). Further hydrogen bonds mediate the characteristic L-shaped molecular structure. tRNAs have two regions of fundamental functional importance: the anti-codon, which is responsible for specific mRNA codon recognition, and the 3' end, to which the tRNAs corresponding amino acid is attached (by aminoacyl-tRNA synthetases). tRNAs cope with the degeneracy of the genetic code in two manners: having more than one tRNA (with a specific anti-codon) for a particular amino acid; and 'wobble' base-pairing, i.e. permitting non-standard base-pairing at the 3rd anti-codon position. Lineage: Bacteria; Candidatus Ryaniibacteriota. The record is from RNAcentral.
GGACGAUUAGCUCAGUUGGCUAGAGCGCUACCUCGACACGGUAGAGGCCGCUGGUUCGAAUCCAGCAUCGUCCA